This 5139-nucleotide long non-coding RNA is filed under the name Homo sapiens (human). RNAcentral's name for it is "HSALNT0371783". Lineage: Eukaryota; Metazoa; Chordata; Mammalia; Primates; Hominidae. The record is from RNAcentral.
CCUUGGUCUCCCGAAAUGUUGUGAGUACAAGCGUGAGCCACCACACCUGGUCUUCUUUAGUUCUUUGAUCCUGUUUAUAACAGCUGCUUUGAAGUCUUUGCUAAAUCAGAAACCUGGAGACACGGAGAGAGAGUUUCUAUUCGCUGCUUUUUUAUGCUUUCAUGGAUGAGUUCCACUUUCAUGUUUCUUUGCAUGUAUCAUUUGUUUAAAGCUGGAUGUUUUUAGUAAUGUAGUAAUUUUGGAAUUGGAUCCGCGAAGAUGAUUGUUGUUGCUGCGUUUUUGAUUGUUCAUUUUUAAUUCCUUUCUUCGUUGGUAACUUGCCCAGGCUCAACCUGUGAAACCUGUCUCUGGUACGUAGGCGUUGAUGUCCCUCAUCAGUUUUUAAAUUUAUUGUUUCUAUUUUACGUCUGCUUCCCAGGGGUUGUCCCCUUGUCUACAUAUGUCAGCGGUCAGCCAAUAGCUGACAGAGGUUGAGCUGCAUGCCCUUGAGCCUCUGCUGAUGCACCUGUGUGAGGGUGGGGAGCGUCUUCAGAGGGGAGCCUGUUUUUGAGUCCGCCUAGGCCCUUACUUUCUCCUGUACCCCCAUGGUCGAUGAGGGAGUAGGCGUGAGCCUGUUCUUCUCUAUCUGUAUCCCCUUUCCCGCCACCCUCAGCCUCCUCUUGCUUUGUGCCCAGGUGCCAGGCCUGAGGGCCGCAUCCACCCCUCAUCUGCGCUCGGAUUCCUGAGGCUCUGCGGUGGGAAGAACAAGCAGCAGGAGGGGCGGAGGGCGCGCCUUCACUGCCAGCUUGCUUUGGACCCACGCCCCGGGCUUGGUCACUGCCUGACCACAGUUCCCACCAGGAAGAGACCCACCUUCCCUGGCCUCCGAAUAUUCUGUUUCUCUCUGGUCCCUUCUGGCCUAGGGUGGUGGGGACUUCCUGCUGUCGCUGGUCUCUGGGUCCUUAACAUCUGUCCUUUGUUGCUUAUCUCUGCCCCCAUCUCUGAGAGUAGCCCUUCCAGUCAGGCCUUUUCAUGUAAAUCGUCCUUCUCACUGGCUUGUUUCCUGCGGGGAUGCUGAGGACUCAGGGGUGGUCCCAGGUGUCGGCCCAGGCAGACAGGUCAGUGGUGAGAUCAUUUGCUAGGAGGAGAAAACGCAGGGGAAAGUGUGUUUGCUGGUGAAUAAUCAAGAGUUGUGCUUUGUAAAUGGUAAACCUGGACAUAGAAGUCAAAAAUUAAAUCAGCCAUUGAAGAUAUGAGGCUAGAGCUCGGGAAGGAGGCGCUGAUGACGGAAAAUCAGGGAAGCAUCUGUGUAGAUGGUGCCCCAAACCACAGACUAGAGGAGACCAACCCGGGAGAACGUGGGAAGAGAGAAGGGGCUCAGGACUGGGAGCUGGGGCAUUGCAGAACUAGAGGCCUGGAGGAAGACGAGGGUUCAGCAGAGGAGCCUGAGGUGGAACUGAGGGGAGGGCAAGGAUGGGAAAGAGUACGGGGUCCUCAAGUCCAAGUGAAAAAAAAGGUUCAAGAAGGAGGGAGUGGUCAGUCAGGGAAGCUGCCCCUGGGAAGGCCAGGAAGAGGGGGCCACCGGGUUCGGCAACACUGACCUCGCUGGUGACCUGGACAGGUGUGGUUUCAGAGGGAGCUGGGGACGGAAGCCUGAAUGAAGUGGACUCAGCAGAGAUGGGAGGUGAGGCCGUGCCCUGCUGAGGUGGGAGGUGAGGCCGUGCCCUGCUAAGGUAGGAGGUGAGGCCGUGCCCUGCAGAGAUGGGAGGCGAGGCCGUGCCCUGCUGAGAUGGGAGGUGAGGCCGUGCCCUGCAGAGAUGGGAGGUGAGGCCGUGCCCUGCUGAGAUGGGAGGUGAGGCCGUGCCCUGCUGAGAUGGGAGGUGAGGCCGUGCCCUGCUGAGGUGGGAGGUGAGGCCGUGCCCUGCUGAGGUGGGAGGUGAGGCCGUGCCCUGCCGAGGGCUUCGUUAUACAGGGAGGAUAACUGGAGGGAAUGUGAGGUCAGUGGAGGGUGUUAGUAUUUUACAUGGGAAAUAAUAGAUACUGAAAAGGGAAGAAAUUAUAUGCAAGAGAGAGGGAUUAAUUAUAGAAACCAAGACCUUGAGUCAGUGACAGGGUAGGGGAACCAGGGCAGCAGCAGAGGGUCGCUGGGCAGCGGGGGUCGCUCAUCAGCUGGAGGGGUCCAUGGAGCGACACCUGCCCCCACCUCACAGCUGGAGGGGUCCAUGGAGCCGACACCUGCCCCCACCUCACAGCUGGAGGGGUCCAUGGAGCCGACACCUGCCCCCACCUCACAGCUGGAGGGGUCCAUGGAGCCGACACCUGCCCCCCGCCUCACAGCUGGAGGGGACCAUGGGGCGACACCUGCCCCCACCUCACAGCUGGAGGGGACCAUGGGGCGACACCUGCCCCCACCUCACAGCUGGAGGGGACCGUGAAGCCAACACCUGCCCCCCGCCUCACAGCUGGAGGGGACCAUGGAGCUGACACCUGCCCCCACCUCACAGCUGGAGGGGACCACAGGGUGGACACCCCCCCACCUCAUAGGCCCGUUGGACGAUCACGUGUGGAAUAAUGCAAUGUGUUUGGGUUCGUGCCUGGCACAUCGUAAGUGUGAAUUAGUACUGUGUGGCUUUACUCUUUGGUUUUCUGAACAUUUUUAUUCUUGAAUAGAAUUCGGGCUUUAUCUUUGCCUGUAGCCAGAAGGCCUAUCUGACUACUUUUCCCUAGACCAAAACAACAAAAAACUACACUCCCAUGACAUCUCUCCAAACGGGAUUCUCUGUAAGUAGAAAAAGAUGACUGAGUUUGAAAAUACCAGUCGCUCCCCGGUUCUCAUUAUCAUAUUGUCAGAAGCAUCCUGUGACACCCACAAAGUUUAGCACGUAAUCCCAUGCACGGCAAGCCCAAAGCUGGCGGGCUGGGGCGGCCCGUGGUAGAGAAAGCUGUCACCUUUGGGAUUCCGCAGACAGCAGCCUUGGUGCCACUGGGGUAGAAGCAUCCGCGUCUCCGGCAUUCGGUGUCAGCAUCUACAGUUAGACCUUCCCAUCCUUAUGGGCUGGGCCCCUCUGCUGUCCUCGAGCUGCAUCCAACACCGGGGAAAUGAGUCCUGACGACCGAGGGACGUCACCAAGAGUGUCACCACCCACACCGAGCAGCCACAGGCUCCAUGUCCAGCCCCUCCUUCCCCCGGGAGGGUGAGCCCAGGAGGUGAGAGCAGAGAUCGGGGCCUGGAGGUGCGGCCUGGGAAGCCUGUUGUGGGUGCCGCCUCCCUGAGCCACAACCUGUCCUGGGGAUCGGUGGACGCUCCGUGGCUCUGCAGAGCUGCUUGUACCACCCUUGCUGGAGGAGGAGGUUCUCGCAGUUUGCUUCCGUUUGUGGAUGAGAGACAGGUGGGUUGGUUGGUUCUUCCCAUCAUGGCAUCACAGCCAUUCCACGGGAGGUGAUGGCAGCUGAUUGUUCUGAGUCUCUGCUAAGUGGAAUCACCCCAAGACCUCGAGUGCAUGGACCCACUGGGCUCUGGGCCCCGCAGAGACGUGCCCAGGCCUGGAUGUGCUGACUGCUGGGCUGUCCCACACAGCUGGAGCCAGGAGCCCACAGUGGGCAGCAGGACCUUGACUUCAGGCGGGCAGAGCCGGGCAUCUCCUGUCUCCUCCCUGCCCUGGCUGGGAUAGGUUUUUAGGAGUAACUUUGCUAGAGGGAAGAUUCUGAGACAUCUGCGAUCCUGAGCUGCUCCGGUGGGCACCUGCCAGAAGACAGGAGCCCAGGCUGCAGGAGUCGCUGGUGGAGGAGGGGUGAGGCGGCGCCCCUGCCUCUGUGGUUCUGCAUGGGGCAGGGCCCCUGCUGCUCCGGGCGGGGAAAGAAGGAUGUGCCAUGUUCACCUUGAUAUUUGGGUUUUUGAAGAAAACCUGUAAAAGCUGUAAAACCCGAACCAUGAGGACACCCCAGGGGCACACAGUUCUGGAGGCUGAAAAUCAAGAUCAGGAUGCUGGCGUCUGACAAGGGCUUUCUUGCUGCAUCCUCACGUGGCGGAAAGUGGAAGGGCAAGAGAGAGCGAACCCAUCCUGAAAACCCCAGAUUACAGAGGCACUAAUCCAUUUAUGUGGGUGGAGCUCCCAUGACCCAAACACCUCCAAAGGCCCCACCUCCUGACAAUGUUGCACUGGGGAUUACAUUUCCAACACAUGAAUCUGGGGAGACAGAUUCAGACCACAGCAGAUGUCAAGGCUGGUUCAAAGGACAAUGUGAAGAACAAAGGCAUGCUGAAAUGAAUUUGAUAAUAGAUGCAAACUUGGGUAACAUCCUACAGGACAAUAAGGUGUAAGUAAUACUUGGGAUCAUCUUUCCUUAGACAUGAGCAUCAGUUGCAUCUACAGUGAACAACACUGAUUACAUUGCCAUAGAGGAAGCUUUGUGUUGCUCUCAGAUAAGAAGCAUGCACACUGCUGUAUUCUCUACAUGAACUUCUAUUCUACAGUUGUAAAAUAGUUCAGUCAAUAGAAAGCCAACCACAGAGACACACCUAGUGGUUUGUUUUUGCCUAUUUUUAAGUUUUUAAUAUUUUUUAUAACAGAUAUAACAUUGAAUCCAUAGUGAAGUUAAUCACUUUUUAAUUACCCAUUUUUCUAAUAAUUAAAUCAACAAGGGAGUCUCCUUUGGGUACCAAUCAAUCUCUAACCUUUCUAAACUUCUUGUUUGAAAAAGAGAAAGGCAGAAGUGGGCCUCAAGCAUGACGCCUUCAACUGACUGUACAAGCUAGCUGCAGUUUGAUGAUACUGUUGAAUUUUCUUUAUUAUAUUGUUACCUUUUAUUAAUGGCAAUGGAUAUAUUAGUUUUCCAUUUUUGGUUGAGAUAUGAGGCUUCCUUUAAAACAUAUUUAAGUAAAAAAGAAAAGUGAGUCAAUGUGUUUAAUUAAACAGCCAAAAGUAUUCAAAUGAUGAAUGAUAUAGAUGGGAUGAAUAGAAAGUCAUAGAAAAUUUAUGGUGAUCACUGAAGGUUGAGAAAAACCCAAUCUGAUGAGCACUCUGCUCCAUGUCAGGUCCUGCCUGUUGUGCUUGUCUCCCAGACUGUCUUUUAACUCUCACCUUCUUACAAAUAGUUGAAUCUUAAUAGCUAUUAUUACCUUACAUUUAACAAAAUAGGCAUAUGCAUAUUUUUUCAUUU